RNAcentral lists this long non-coding RNA (17103 nucleotides) under Phoenix dactylifera (date palm). RNAcentral's name for it is "long non-coding RNA (PDAC_LNC001371)". Lineage: Eukaryota; Viridiplantae; Streptophyta; Magnoliopsida; Arecales; Arecaceae. The record is from RNAcentral.
CUGAGUGUCGGAGCUGAUUCCAAGAUACCCUUAAAUCUAUUGAUACAAUUCAUCUCCCCUGCCAUAUAUGUCUUCUCCAUAUCUAAAGCGUGUCUUCUUCUUUCCUUUCCCUGCUGUCGAAUACUAGCGGUGAUCUUAUUAAAGGUUAAACAUGGCGUGCCUAAUGUAAUUCCUCUUGGUUGGCUUUAAUUCUAUCUGGAUAAGUACAUAAUAGACGGCGAGAGAAGAUGAUGUUUCAUUCAUUUGUCUUCUUGAACUGUUGAGCUGCAGAAAAGUAGAAGCUACGUGGAUGAGCGGGUGACUCGACAGUCACAAGCAUCCCUGCCAUUUCAUUGGAUGUUUAUUUGUAAAGAAGAUUGAUGGGUGCAGUGACUGCAGUGUGUAGCGAGCUCUGACAGUCUGACUAUGAGAUAUGAUUUUUUUUUUUGGAGCACAGGCUAUGAGAUACGAUUUCACGUAAGGCUACGCGCUUGAGGUUGACUGGACAAUGAUGAUCAAUAAUUGACCGCAGCAAGAAAACGAUUAAAUUGGUGCAUGGAAUGGGGACCAUCGUUCGGUACAUGGAGCACCAACUUCGUCCGAUCUUUUCCACCCCUACGCGGCAGGAAGAGAUUGGCUGCAUGAGAGGAUUGGUGGGAUUCCAGGAGUUGGCCCGAUUCCUAGGUGUCGGUGGCCUUUUAGGCAAAUUUCAUAUUUUUAAGCUCCAGACUACGAGAGCAUUUAAGCUCGCACCAAUCAGGGGUUUGCACCACCUUCUCCGCCUUCUCCUUAUAAAUAUAGCCAACAAAAUUAAAAAAUAAAAUACUAUAUAAAAAUAUUAGCACAAUUUUAUAAUCUGUUCAUGUAAAAAUUCUAAAAUAAUGAGCCGCAAAAAAAAAGCAGGAGGAGUUGCACCUUGGAUGGCUCCUCGGAGCAGUAACUUUGUACAAUUGGGGGAUUCCAUACUGAAGACUGAAGUACGUUGCCCCUCCUUUGCUCAUCGCCCUUUUCUGCAGCCCAAUAAAGAAAAACCGAGGAUGGGGAAGCAAAAUGAGUACAAAGAAAGUGAUAUUAUCCUAGAUGUUUCACGGAUAUAUAGCAAAGUAGUGCAGUCAAAAAAUGAUGAAAAGUACUUUUAUUGGAAAGUGAAAUAGAGCAUACUAUUACAAGAUUUCACUUGUUGCCCUCGAAAAGUGAAAUAGAGCAAAUAGUUGUUGGCCUUGUAAUCACACUUUCAACUACCAAAAAUAAGAAGAAUUUAAUAUUUUUAACUACCUCUUGGAUCAGAAAUUCUGAGAUAAAUCCUUAAAGAUCAUGACACAUGACCCAGUUAUCACUGAGCACAGGAGCUCAUACAAUGUCUACAGCAACGUCUGGUGCUCGCCAGCCUGAACCCAACAGUGAUGUCACAGAGAGAAUGGUGCUUGAAUGCAUGCCUCCAUGUGGACUGGGUUCCUAACAACAUUUUUCUUAGCUAAAAUGGCACUAUCCUUCGGAAAUUAAGGGACCCUGCGCACCCCAGAAGCUGGGGCCACCUUUUUAUUCUUCUUGAUAUACAUCAUCGAUCAGAAUGCAAUAACUGUCACAAUUAUUUUGGAAAAAGUCGAAAAAUAUAUACAAGUAGCUUUAAUACAUGUCGACACACUAGCUCAGGACCACUUCUUGAUCGGAAGAAAAAAUGAUUUUGGAGUUCAAUGUCUGCUAGUUUUUUUCUCUUUAUCAUUCUAAUUUUGCCAAAACCAAUGAAUGGGAAUCUCCUAACUAGUUUGCAUGGAGAGGGUUAUGCCUAAUAAAAGGUAGAGGAUGGAGAAUCUGGAGAUAAUGGACAAAGUGAGACAGCUUUUGUAGGAGCACAUUGUUUGCUUGUAAGAGCAAAGAUUAAUUGUGUUUGCUUGCAUCUUUGUUCUUGUUGUUGUUGUUCUUCUUCUUCUUCUUCUUCUUCUUCUUCUUUUUACUGAGGAAGACACAGAAAACAUAAGACAAGAAAUCUUAGAUCAAACGCACAGGUAGUAAAAGAAAAUUUAUUUGGGUUGAAACUAGACUAGAGCAUGCAUGCAGUUUGGAAACUUGAAGAUAGAUGGAUACUACACAUGACGUGCAUCACUGAAUCAUAUGGAUAGGUUAAGAAAGCAUAAUUAUCUUGCAAUACUUUGUGAACUCUCCUACAUCUGAACACCAAACUAUUCUCAUGUUCAUUUUACUGGUGACAUAAUAAGUUGGAGAGAAAACUUUCAUCUUUCUCAAUCAAAAAGAUACCGACAAUUCAUCGGAAUUCACAUUUAGCUUUACCCAGAAUAGGACACCUACAUUCAUAUAAAAGAAUAAAAAAAGGGAUAAUCCAUCUACUUCAAAUAACUGCAAUGUAAACUCAUCUCAAACAGGUCCCAGAAAGAAAUCCUACUAAUUCAUAGUGUUCUUCACUCUUUUAUAACAGUAGUUAAAUCUUUUAUUGUUCUAAAGGUGAGAAUCACUCUGAAUUUCUGUAGCUCUGAGAUAUAUUUACCUUUCUCAGGAUAGGAUGUGAACUUCUAACUUUCAAUGUUUCAAAAAAGUAUACAAAAAGAGACUUUUUAUACAUAAACAAUUGGGAUAACAGAUUGUAUCUUUUGAUGGGCUUAUUGUGUUCAUGAAUGAAAACAUAAAAAAUCUUCAUGCUUUGAAUUUUUUUAGCCCUAUUGCCAUGCUACUGAUAAACUGAAAAAUGUAAUAAUUGGGAUCUAAUGAUUUUACAAAGUUACUUUUUACUAUAUGACUUGCAUGUGGUAUAAUUCCUGUCCCAACCUCUUCCUGUAUCAGUUUGCAUGACGAUAGCAAUUCAACAUGCGAUAUCAAGGUGGGAUCCACAAUGUCAAAAAUAUCAUGAGAAAACACCACUUGGAACUAUAACUUUGAACUGAUUCUGAUCUAGCUAAGAGAUCUAAACCCCAUCAUCCUGAAACACUAAUACCACAAUUAUAUACAUACAAAAGUAGCAACACAACAUCGAGUACAAUUUCUCUAAUCUGAGCCUAGGUUCGGUGAGAAUAUUUUAACACCCUUUCACCGAUAUCCACUGCAACCAUAUGGGUGUAGCAUAAUGGCUGCAUUGAAUGGCUAACGCCCCAGAAGGCCUACAUAUAACAUGUCCAUAAGAUAACAAUAGAGAGAGCCUGACUAAUGCCUAUACUUAAAGAUAUUCUGAGUCUCACUUGAAAUGCAUUUUGUCCAAAUAAAUAAAGGGUUGAUUACCUUUGCCAUAUUUAAAUAUCAAAUCCUGAAAGAAUCAGAAAUAAAAUUUGACUUCAUGGAAAUUUUUGGUACAAAUUACUAGAACACGCAUCAUAAGUCUUCUAUAUUCUCAUGUAUAUUCUCUUAGAACAGAUUUUAUUAUGCAUUCAAGCAGACACCCAAAACAAAGCCUGAGUUCCUCAACAAUGGACUAUAACUUCUUUUCUUCUUAUCACUGGCUUCAUUAUUUACUCGAAUAGGCACCCAUUCAUCCAUUCCCGUUGAUUCAAGAAUUAUGAACAAGAAGGUGCUUUCAGCCAAAUGAAGAAAUGGAUAUAAGUUCAUAUGCUUUAUUAUGCAUUCAAGCAAGAUUCACCUUACUAGUGCAUACUGCUCGGUGUCAAGCAUACCAUACCUUAAUGGUACUAAACCAAUACUCAGUACAGGGGCACACCUAGUGUCUGGGCAUCAUACCAAACAUACUAACACUAUAAUUACGGGUGUGGUACCGAGAUUGUGAACCUUAUACUAUCAUUAGGUCUAGUAAGGUAAAUAGUUUUAAGCUUCUCAUUGUGAAAAUAUUGGAAAAGAAAGAAGAUAAUAAUUCACAUGGAAUAGAGAUAUAAACUCAAGAAAAUCAACACAGCCUUCAUGUUAAAGCGCCAUGAUAACCCAAUAUUUGCAAGUCAAACAAAAAAAAACCUUAGAUAUUAAAGGAAAUUAAGGUGAGAGAUAAGAAGCCUCACAGGAGAUGUAUUAUGUCUUAUAUGUCAAAGGACGUGGCCUUUUUCAAGAAUGGAUAGGGAGCAGCGAGCAGCAUGAACGAGAUCGGCAAUGACAAUGCUAUGGAGGUAUCGCUCCUCUGAUCCAAACAAGACCUCCGUCUUAUUGGCCAACCGGGCGGCAUGAAUUAGUGGGAGAUCAGGGGAGUUGAGGCUUCUCAGAAUUUGCCGGUACAAGGAAAACACAGUCCCUCGAUUACUUGGCGGGGGAGGGGGGAAUAACAUCACACAAAUGGAGUGGCAUACAAGUGAAGCAAAUCGACAAACAUCUAAUGUGCUACACUGAGAACUAUAUACGCCUAGAAUUUUCUAACAAAAUAAAUAUUCAGAGCCAGGAAAGCCAAUUAAGAUACUCAAAAGACAAAUAUAUUUUCCAGGGAGACGAGCUGAAAGGCCAGAAAUCAGAUUCCUCUCCGACAUGUUCAAUGCCAAAGCUUCGAAAACUAGCAAGAGAGCGUACAUAAGCGAGUAGCUAAAGAUUAUAGCUGCUGCUGGGUGGGAUAAGAUAUCGAAAACUAUAAGAGCUUUCUCUUCCCAAAGAACACCAAGGAGUACGAGAGGGCCCAAGUUUUUGUCUUAAUUUCGGCAAAUAGUUUGCCGAACGCAUAUGGAAUGCCUUAUAUGGACACCGAGCAUUCUUCGGUGGCUUAUUUGCAUGGUUCUCUUGUUUUUUUUAAUCCAGUGUUGUGCAAAUUGAAGUGCUAAACCUUUUAUUUAUGCUUUCUUUAGCUAAAUCUUAUAUAUAUUUGUUUGUAGAGGCCUAGUUUUUUCUUUUUUGUUCCUUUUUUUUUUUUUAUAUCUAUGACUUCUAUAUCUAUGCUUUCUUUAGCAAAUUGAAGUGCUAAACCUUUUUUUCUUUAGCUAAAUCUUUAUUUUUCUUUUUCUUUUUUGUCCUUUGGCUAAACAUUUAUCCUGUUGAUUGCUAUCAAGGUGGAUAUCUGGGCCGACUUGAGUCAGAAGGCUUUGUAUGGACUAUGACUUAAAAAAAAAAGAAUGGCUUUGUAUAGACUAUGACUGGAAUUCUGGGCCGACUUGAGUCAGAAGGCAUUGGAUGUCAGUUUACGGAUCCUUGGGUAUUGGGUGGAGACUUCAACAUAGCCCGUUUCUUCAGUGAAAGGUAAGCAGGAUUCAAAGGUGAUGUGUUACAAUUCUCUGAUGUCAUUAGGCAUCUGAAUUUAAUUGAUUUUCCAAUUAGAGGGCGAUCUUUCUCACUCAGAGAAAUGCCAGUGCUUGCAAAGCUAGCCAGAUUACUGAUUUCUGUUGAUUCGGAGACCCAUUAUCCAUCGGCGAAAGGUCGGCGGCGGCGCACCUCGACGGUACUCCGACCAUGCACCCUUUUGCUUGAAUUGCGAUGAACAAGUCCUCUCCCAAGGCACGUUUAGAUUUGAGAAAAAUAUGGACCAUGGUAGAUGAUUUUGACCUGGGGAUGGCGAUAAAAGAUUCUUCUGAAGCAGCUGUAGAGGUUCGCAAUGGAAAAUGAAGUUGAGUUUACCAGUAAUUGGGUGCUAUUAAUUUGUAGAGAAAUCUUUCGGUAAUUUCGAUGACAUGUAAAUAAGACUGAUCAUUGAUCGACCCGCAAAGUAGUCCUGUGAUCUAGCUACACCGAAUCCAGUUUUAUCAACCAUACUAACUAUCUGUGAUAAUUAAUUAAGCUAAUGCUCAUCUGAGGAUAUGAGGCUCUCUCUCUUUUCUAACUUUGCUCUGAUGAUGCCCUCACCUGCUGAAAUCACAGAAGAAUAAAUAGUAGAUAAUCUCUAGGUUUGCAACAUAGGCUUAAUUUGUUUCAUCGAACUGUCCUGAGGCUAUGUAGGUCCCUUAAAUAUGUGUCACCUUGAAGAGAAGUGUUUUCAUGAUUCUUCUGCAUGCAAUUUUAAUUUAUCUACAUCAUAAUCAAGACAUCACAUGUACUCAUAAGUGGCUAAGAUGUGUAAUCACAGUAAAAGAGCAUAUAUUGAUGAAGAACCUAGAACUGAAUACCAAAUCAGGCAGCAUUAGCUUCAUCAAUUUCCAUUACAUAACAUAAAUUAUCAUGAACAUUGCUAUUAUCAUGAAAAUGACAGAAAUUAUUCGCCUGUUCCAAUUUUUGUAGCAAUAGUUGUAACGACACCGAGACAUCGACAUGGGACAUUACAUUGCGGUGCUGGUGUUAUUUGACGAAGUCAUUAUUUACAUUUUGUAAUUUUAUUUUUGUAGCAUUAUACUUUUAUUACAUGCAUAAAAGUCUUAUAAUAAAUAACAAAAAUAUGGUAGCACCAUUAUGAUGGUCAUUAUAAUGUUAUGUUACAAAGGAUUAUUGCACUUAACAAUAUGCCAAAUAUGUUUUGGAAACUUAAUACGUAGCAUUUAUAUAUAACAGGGCGACAGACUGGAUGGUGGUAUAUGUAGUUAGUCACUCAAGAAGCACCUUAUAGAUUGAGAAGGGUGAGAUGCCUGGUGCAUUUCGAGGCUUUUUGUUUAUCGAUCCUACUAGAUGUAUGGGUAGCCCUGAUGUAUGAAUGGUCCGUAUCAGGAAAAAAAAAAAAACAAUCUAAUACGCAGCGACAUCCGAAAGCAAGCAUUCAUGACGGCGAGGGGAGGUACACGGUUACCAAGAAAAUCUAAGCUGGAUCUCGAUAGAAAACGAUGCUUCAUCCUCGAUGAUGCACGGGGGAGAUCGGCUCCAGGAUCCAAUUCGCUGAAGCUCCACCGUGGCACCAGCACUUGGAUCACAGCCGUCCAUUGUAGCAUUUAAUGGUCUCCGUGGACGGGCUGGCAAUUUUCUCGGGUGUUCCGUUCCUUUCAAGCGCCGGGCCCACCAUGUCAGCAUCGUGGAGGGUCCAGGCCGUCCCAUUGGUUGCUCCGGUCCGCGAGAAUGGCUUAACCUCAACGGAAAGUUAAAGCUGAGUCCUAACAAGCUUUCUUAGUGUGCGAAUUUUCUAUGGUUGUUCGGAAGAAACAACCUGAUAAAAUACUCUGCUUUUUAUCUAUCACUGUCAAAAGUUGAAAAUUAAUCAAUGUAAAAAGGCUAAACCUACAUGUGAUUUAACUAAGGCUUUGCUUGCUUAAUAUGUGGGCUUGCAUUAAUGGACAUGGGUCAUACUUAAGAGGAAGGUGAACUUAGAUCAUGCAGCAUGUCUAGGACUCCUCUUACACUAAUCUUUGCUACGAAGACUUUUCUUGAGGGCAUAUAGCUGCUUUAAAGGUCCUCUAUAUUGGGCUCAACCAACAUUAAUGAUCACGCUAAGCACCUGCACAAACUGUGCGUCACUUUUUUUAUUUUAUUAUUAUUAUUAUUAUUUUUGGUUUAACGGUGCGGACACGUGAUCCACCUAAUAAAACCUUGCAAGUGAUGUGCAGCAAAAGAGGUAACCCAGUCAGCAGCACAGUUUGCCCUCCUGUAAACAUGUAUGGCCAGGUAGGAGUCACACUCCUCCAGAAGUCCGCGGAUGUCGUGGAGCGACAGCCUCUUCUCUGCAGUGCAUCCCCGACUUUGGACCCACCCGAUCAUAGUGGUCGAGACUCCCUCCAAAAGGAUACAGUCUGCACUCAGGACGCGUCUCGCAUAAGUAACGCUCUCCCAUGCUGCUCUGAGCUCAGCGCACACAACGGACGUGUCGAAGAUCCGCUGCCCUCUGUUGCCACUAGUCCGACGUCAUGAUCUCGGAUGACAAAUCCCACGCCUCCGCAUCUCCUUCCCUCAACCACACUGCCGUCAAAAUUCAUCUUGAGAAAGCUAGAGAGCAUCCAGGAAACAAACACGGUUCUGAGCAUUGUAGUGGCUGAGUGGGAGCUCCAGAUUUUUUUAGCUAACCCUGUAGGUGAAACUCCAGUGAUACCGACGAACCCUCCCACAUGUAGUAGUGCUCUGUCCAUCACUACCCUCGGGUGAGAGCCACUAUUCUCGAAAACUCAGACGUUCCUAUUUAAACAAUAAUAGCAAGCUAGAUAGGCAGCCCGUAACCCCCUCUCCAGCUAUGUGUUACCUUUAGCGACCUCGCUCUACGCAUGACUUAGGCUACGCUAAUUCUAAACCUCUUAGGCUAGUGCACCUGUGUGAGUUUUAACAUAUUCUUAAUUUAAUAGAAUCAAUACUUGAGUACAGUCGUUUUGCUCCACUUCAUUCUAAAUUUCUCAUCUUUAGCGUAGCACGCAAAUCGAGAAAAUUAAAGGUUUUUUUGCAGAUCGCUUCGUAUGCUAUCUAAAAACAUGACAUGAUGGGGAUGUAACCCUCCUGUAGCACGUUAUAUGAAGCCAAUCACCUAUGUAGAAAUAAUAGAGUUACAUAGUAUUUGUACAACCAACCGGAUACAUGUAAUGCACGUCAAUAAAAGAAUGAAUUAAUAAAAAAUUAAAGGGAUAGGAGAUUGUGCAUCUCCGUGUGUUUUCCCGGCCAUGCUAAGACAAGUGAUCAUGGUCCACGUCCAAGCCAUCGGGCCCAAAUUCGGCCUGUUUAUUAAAAUAAAUUAAAAUUUUAAAUCCAAAUCCAAUCAAUUUAUUAAACAAGUAAUCCGAUCCGGUCUACAUAAUCUAUUUAUUAAACGGAUUAAAUAGAUUUAAAUAGAUUAAGCAAGUUAGAUUAAAUAUAGAAUCAACACGAGUUAAAUAGGUCAAAUGUUUAAAUCUGAAUUUAAUCCAUUUAAUAAACAAGUUUAGACGGAAUGAUCCAUUUACAAUCCAAAUCUAUUUUUGUUAAAUCUAAACUUACUUAAACCGGGUCAUUCACGAAUCAAAUUAGCCGGUCGGGGCAUAAAUUGCUAUCCUUAUCUGCAGGUCCACGCAUCUUUGUCCCAGGCCAAAUAGCUCGUGUGUGAAGAGAAGACGGGGACCAAGAUUCCAGUAGCCUUGCACUAUAAUCCAAGUAAGACCCACGAGAGGUGCCUCAUUAAUAUACUAAUCUUAACUUCGACUUCGCAAGAAAGUAACAUGGACCGCUGCUAAUGCGAGGCCUGUCCUACUCUCCGUCCCUUUAAUUGGUAGUUGCGGCAACCACCUUUCCUUCUUCCUUAAUUGGGUCCUCAUCACUUACCUUGCAAUUAUUAUAGUCCUAUUACCGAUUUGAGGACACCUUUUAAGAUUCAGUCGAACCACGUACGUAGAAAUGUGCUAACCACUAACAUAAGUCCUCAACAACCUACUUUGCAAGCUUAAGGUAUAUAUUUUAAGCUAAAAGGAGUCAUCUCCACCACCAAGGUGGUAGCCCAGUUAGAACGGGGCGUUUGCUUCUAACCAAGUGGUUCCAGGUUCGAAACGCACGGGCGUCGAUUAAAUCUGGGGACCGGAUGCCCCGCGCCUGGACACGGAGUCUGGAAGUGCUACUGGUCGGCUGGUAGCCUGGGUGGUGCCAGGUGUGACGUAUUCACACGGGGUACUCGUGCCAGGGCCCAGUGGGGUAACUGAGCCGGGGCCAUNNNNNNNNNNNNNNNNNNNNNNNNNNNNNNNNNNNNNNNNNNNNNNNNNNNNNNNNNNNNNNNNNNNNNNNNNNNNNNNNNNNNNNNNNNNNNNNNNNNNNNNNNNNNNNNNNNNNNNNNNNNNNNNNNNNNNNNNNNNNNNNNNNNNNNNNNNNUAUUUUUUAAGCAAAAAAAAAAAAAGGAGUCAUCUCCAUACGACGUUGAUUAUAUCCAUCGAUAUUGACAAAGAAAGUGACUGAGAGAGCAUAAUCGAUCUUAUUCCAUCUUGUAUUAUUUUUUAGCUGACCAGCCAUGUACUUUGUAAAUAUUUUUAUUUUUUAUCUUUUUUUUCUUCAUCAAAACCUUAAAUAAUCAGUACAAUUUUUUUAAAAUAUAUAUGUAUAAAUAUCGAAUAUCCUUGGACUAGUAUUUUUUUUUGUUUUUGGCCAAUACUUGUUGAAUUAAUUGCUAAAUUUCGAGGGAUCAUCAUCUUUAUCUAGAACUUGAAGAUGCUGUGACUUAAACAGGAUGAUCACCCCGAGAUUUACUAUUUGUUUAUCUGCAAUGUGGAGCUAUGUACUUGAUAAUUCAAAGCAUCUUGGACCUAAUGAUACCGUAAAUAGAAUAAUUCAAAGCAUCUUGGACCAAAUUGGACUCUCUUAAAUCAAAUUAAUUAUCGAGCUUAGCUGGGUUAGUGUUUGACAAGAACUACGACUUUACAAUAGAGUACCAAUCUCAUUCGGACCAAGCACAACCUAGAACGUUAGGUCUGGCCGGCCUCUAUAUUCUGUGUGAAAGAAACAAUGAAGAGAGGAUAAGGAAACAAGCCAUGAAUUAAUUAGAUUAUCUAGAAGUGGAGGAUGCAAUUUAAGUUUUAUAUACCAAAGCAAUUUUUUUAUGAAAUGGUGGAAGAAGUCCAGUCCCUACCGUCUCGUGGACUAAUUGAGUGGAAGCCUUUACUUCUUUCAUGUGUUUAUAAGCCUUUACUUUUUAAGAUUGUGUCAGCUCAGCUUAUGUCAUUUACCACUCAUAUUACAAAAAGAUAUGUUGUAAAGAAGUCUGCUACCUAAAAUUAUACAGCCUACCUAUCUCAUAUUCCAUAGAAGGCCUUUAUAAGACAAAUUGCUCCAAAAACUUUGAGUCAUGUCCCGAAAUAUAUUCAAAAAAGAGUGUUUCAAGACCCGAGAUUUCUGCCAUUGCAUGAUUUAUUUCUAUAUUUUUGUGAAUUUUAUGUUACAAUAAAACAAUCUUAUCAUUGCACCAAGGUCCAUCUUUUAUUCUGCAAUAUGUUCAAACCCUCCUCCUGCCCAAACCAUGAAAUAUAAGCUGAUCUCUUUAUCCUGAGAGGGGUUUUUAGGGUAAUAUAGCAGCCAAACUCAGCUGUCUCACAUCCCAGCCACCAGCCAAUAGAGCUGAUUUGUCGAGGGCCAAUUAGUUAGCAUAUUUGGAGCCUAUUUUAUUGAGCAAUAGCAGAUUGACACAUCAGCACAGAUGGCUGUUUGCUGCAUGAGCCUCGCACGGUUGAAUGUAGGAAUGCAGAAAUUUUAUAUUAUAUCAACAAUAAUAAACAAAUUUAAAAAUUAAAAAAAUGAAAUAAAGUAAAAAAAACUUAAUAAUGAUGCAAGGAACUUCGCGUGAGGCAUUUGUUAGGAAAUGGCAUCCAUCUACCGAUUCUGCCGCUCGACAAACAUAAAUCUAAUAGUAUUAAAACAACGGAAUCUCUGACCUCGCAAGGGACAUACCCUGCAUCACGUGCCUGACAAAAAUUUAUAGCAACCGUCCGAUUUGAACCAUUGGGGGGAAAUUAAUUAAUUAUGGAAACUGCGGUAAAUGCUCAUGAAUUUGAACCGUUGAGUAGGUGGACCUCGGACCUGAUUCCCAGGACCGUGAUCCGCAUUCCACUGGCUUAAAACUGGACGGUCCGGAUCUCUCGCUGUCAUCUUUUGUACGAGGGGCUCGAGUGGGGACCAGGAAAAGCUACCUUCCCGUAUAAUUUAUCAUGAAAUUCUUUUAUUGUCACUCCAUGUUGUUUUCCGCUGUACCUGGAACGAUGCCAACUGCCGCAGCAGAGGUGGAGGUAAUCAGAUGAUGUCAUUUUACCAUUUUGGCAUUUUUCAAUAAAUAUCACGAUAAAAUGGGUGUUAUAUUGAUGCAGUGUCAGCUUUUUUUUAUUAUUAUUUUAUUUUUUGAUGGUCUGUCCACGUGGCACAAUAAUGUCAUUUAACUAGCCUAAUAAGUUUAUGUUAUUACAUGUCCUUAGGGUAGCCAUUCUAGGUGGUAAGGAGGAGGUUGGGUGCGAGGAUUUUCGGAUGGUAGCAAUGGAGCCAAAGGGUUAUGGUGACGAUGCAGUCACCACCGUAGUGGUGAAAAAGAUGUGGCAGUGAAUUCUGCCAUAGAAAAUGAGGAAUUUAGAGUUAUUUUUAGAGGAUUUAAAAAGAGAUUGGAAAACUUUGUCACGUGGCAAUGAUAUGAGCCCCAAAAUGAGAGUGGAAUUAGGUUCUCUUGAUGACUAAGCUUCUUUCUUCUCAUCAUUUUGGAAUUUUUAAUCCGUCGCCUUUGAUCUUUAUCUGCUGGAGUCUAUGUUGGAGAAUUCGACACAUUAAAUGUUGAUUUGGUGGACCAUAUUGAGAUUUUUUUAAGAUGAGAGAUCUUAAGUGCAAGAUAUGAAAAAAUUAUAAAGAAAAGUUUAGUUGUUACUUCGCAUCAUUUCACUUUUUGUUUUUUCAAAAAUAAAAUAAAAAAUCUAUUUUUUAUUUUUAAAAUUUUUAGAAAUAUAAUAUAUUUUGUAUAAUUAAUUAUUUUAAGAUUAAAAUGUGAUAAUUAUUGUAAAGGUGGUGUUAAUAACAAAGGAGGCAGUAUAAAUGUUAUAGUAUUGGAGGUAGGAGCAUUAGUAAAAUCAUAAAGCUAACAAUAGUAGUUGAGGUGGUAGGAGCGAUAGUGAGAGAAUCAAAUGCCAAUUAUACGAUGGAAUGGCAAUUAUAAGAAUGAUGGUUAGAUGGUAACGAUAUUAAUGAGAUGAAGGUACUAGCAAUUUGGUAGAGGUCCACAGUGAUGGUGCUAAAAAAUAUAAUUUUUUAUUUUUGAAAUAUUAGAAGAAGGAAUUUUUUAUUUCUAUUCUUUCUAGAAAUAAUGAAAGCAAUUUUUGAAAAAUACAAAAUAAAACUAAUAGCAUCAAUCUCGAUUUAUUUUAUUUUAAAAUAAAAAAUAAGAAAUAAAUGCAAUGGCGAAAAGAUUCUUAGAUUGCAGACUUAGCUUUCAUAUAAUAAAAUUAUAAUUAUUAGAUUUUAUUUACUCUCACAUUUAUCACAUACAAGGGAACUUUUUUUGAAGAAAGACCGGUAGAGCGUUCCCGAUGCCGGUGGGUGAGGAUAUCAAGAAUAUAAGAAUAAAUCCAGCAAAAUUUUAGGAGCAAUAAAUAUCUAACUUCUUGAAAACAAGGAACAAGAACCAAAAAGAAAGAAGGCACACCGAGAGGUCCGCCUCCUCUCAUCUCCGAUCUCGCUCCCUCUCGCCUCGUUUUUUUUUUAUAUAAUGGAUAUUCCGGUCCAAGCGGCGGCACCGGAAUCGAGACCAGCGACCACCCUCCUCUCUUCUUUUCUUUUCUUUGGAUGUCUCUUCUCCCAGUUGAAACCACGGUAGGAGGGGAAAAGCAAAAGAAGGCUAGUAGUUUCCGUAGAAAUAGGAGAAAGAAAGAGGCCAAGAAGAGCAGAAAAGGCGAGAGAGAAAGGGAGAGGGAGAUGGGCCUACCGAACGACGACGUUGUAGUCAUCCGGCAGCCGGAGAGGCCCGGAGAGCCGAGCGUUAUCACCAUCAGUUGCCCGGACAAGACCGGCCUCGGUUGCGACCUCUGCCGCGUGAUCCUACUCUUCGGCUUGAGCAUUGUGAGGGGAGGUAAGCCCAAUCUGCGUAUUUUCCCCCGAUCUCUUCUCUCCUCCUUUCGAGUCUGAUGCGAUUCUUGCGUAAAAAUCCGAUCUUGGUUUGGCUAUCGCCGUUCCUAGUAACAAAGAAACGAUUUUAAGCGCGAUUCUUGUGAAGAAAUUGAAAUGGCUGCUGGUUUCUAGACGUGAGCACGGAUGGGAAGUGGUGCUACAUACUGUUCUGGGUGGUGGAGAGGGGAGGGGAGGCGACGAGGUGGGGGCUGCUGAAGAAGAGGCUACUGGGGGCUUGCCCCGUGCCAUCUUUGCUGUUGGGGAUUGACGGCUACUUCUCUAGGCAGCUGGAUGCAGAGCAGCAGCCUCAAGUUUUUCUGCUCAAGUUCUCGUGCUACGAUCACUUGGGCCUCUUGCAUGGUGAUCACCCGUUUUCCCUCUCAUUUUCUUUUUGCUUUUGGAAUUUUAAUUUCUUGCUUCUUGGUUCUCUUUUGAUUUCUGUAUGGAAUCUAAUAGUUUCUUUUAGACAUGGAAUAUGGGAUCUUUUUUUUUUUUGUGGAAUCUCAAAGAUUCUUUUAUUUAUGAGACUUGUAAACCUUCUUUCUGUACAGAAUCUUUAUCUUAUUCUUCUUUUAUUAAUCCUGAUCUAUUUUGGAACCUACAAGUUAUUAGGAUGUCGUGUUUCUUAAUCCUUUGUUUUUUUGUUUUAAAUUUACAAAGAUAGGAAAACAUGUUUGAAGUCAAGUGUUCCUAUUUUCUAGGAGAAAGAGAAGGGGUGGGACAAUAUUUUGGAGAUCUGAAUUUAAGAGUUCCUAGUUAUUUGGAAUUUAUUUUACUUCACAAAUAAUGAAUAACAUUUUUCGGAAAAAAGUUGUUAAGUAAUUCCUCCUAUCUAAUCAUUUAUAAUGUAGACAGAGAUAUAUUUAACAUUGGUAAUCUGACACUUCCAAUGCUUUUACGAAUUUCUUUGAAAUUUCUUCGACUUCAUUCCACAAUUUUCUUUUUAGAUUCUCAUACUGAAGUUCGUAUACAUGUUCUACUUUUCUUUUAUCAUUCGGCCUCUUCCCUUCUUAGAGCUUUUAAGUUCUCUCAAGACUGUUGGGAUAUGGUUUGAAUUUUUAGGACAAAAUCUCACUGGUCAGAAUAUAAAGUUUAUUUUGUCUUGGGGUUUGGUAGAUGUGACGCAGGUGCUAUGUGAGCUUGAGCUCACAAUCAGGAGGGUGAACGUAUCCACCACUCCAGAUGGGAGAGUUAUGGACCUCUUCUUCAUAACUGACACGAGGUAUCACUUUAUCUCUGCAUCUUUGUGCCAUUUCAACAUGAAAUUCUUUUCUUUCUUUAUCUAUACUAGGCAAUUUCUUUUAUUGAUUUCUGUCAUGUGUCAAAAUUGAUUUUAAACAAAGAAAACAUCUGAUGCUUGCAAUGUUCAUAUCAAAUGCUGCUUAGUUGUUUGCUUAAAAUUUUGGAAGCUUCAGGAUUUGUGUCCUAAAUGCUAAAUUACAGAAAACCCCUGACUUGUACUGUUAAAGAUAUAGAGAUAUGUUAGAUCAGUGUUUUCUGGAAUCUUGUAUCAUCCACACACCAAAAAAUGCUGUGUAGCUAUGCAUAUUUAAGCAUCUAACUUAAAUCAAUGAUCAUCAUAUUGAGUGUGGAACUUCAGCUCCUCUACAUGCAAAAGGGUUGUGUCACUUGGGUGUAUUGGAUGGUGAUGCAUGUCCUUUUUAAUUGUACAAAAGAAAGGAGGAAGCUGGCUGCCUGCUUGUGCAGGGACAUAUAAUUCAUUCAUAGGGCCAGCUUUAUGUACAAAUAUACUAUCCAACAGCUUUUGUAUCCUAACCUUAGCAUGACUGUAUUCUUGAAUGUGGAUUGCACAUCUGGGUUUUAGUUCCACAUGUUGGAUAUAAUUAUUUACACACAGUUGCUACGCAAUGCUUCAUUAGGUUUUGUUCAAAUAUUUAUUUUUGUUAAACAUUAAUGAUGCACCAUGAAUAGGUUCUAAGCAUACUGAUCACCAUCCCCCUUAUCUGAUACUUUAUAUUUGUUUCAAGAGUCAAUUUUAUCAACUUUAGGUAGUUGUUACUUUAAUUUAAUUAUGUGAAGUUGCACAAUAUCAUAUUAUGCUAAUGAAAUGCCAUUUUUACAUACAUCUUGAAAAAUGCUUUAUUGUUUUUUCAUUAACUUCUGGGCCAUUCACCCCCCUUGGAUGACUUUAAAAUUCAUAUGCCACAAAAUGGAAGCUCUAAAGACUAUUUGAAAUAAGGAAGCUGCUAUGCGCAGAUUCAGUAGCAUGAGCAAUGGAAUACGUGGUGGUGGGAUUGUCGGACUUAGGUACAGUGACAAGCGAUUCGCAUAAUGCAGUUAAAUGGUCUACUGAAAGUAGACUAUUCUGUUCUAUAAAUUGCUAUAAAAAUAUGCUGCUUAUGGAAGUGACCUUGAAGGCCAGUUGCUUUAUAUCUUUGUAAGCUGGUUUUCGAAGCCUACGACUGUAUUCUACUCAGAAAAGGACCUAUAAAUAUUAUGGGCUUUUGUCUUUAUGUUCAAGUAGUAUAAGGAAGUUUGUUGAAAUUUCUGAAAGUAUGGGGAUGAGAAUAAUAAAACCUAUGGGAUUAUUGUUACAUUUUGUAUAUGAUGUUAUAAAAGGAGAGCUACAUUGUUGGCAAACUUUCAGUCACUUGAUCCUUGUGUGCAAGCAGUAAGCUUCUCAUUGAUUGUUAUGUGUGUUUGGACCAAGUAUUCUUCUGUUUAAUAUUUCUUUUGAAUUUGUCAUUAUUCUAAUAAAUAUUCCUUAGGCUCAUAUCUGAUAUAUGUCAUUGCAUUUACUUCAAUAUAUGUGAGACUGGUUCUAAGACAUGAACUAGUGUACCAAGUACUGUAGCACAUAUGUCCUCUUUCUCGGUCUUGCUUUAUUGUAUCCUGUUGGCAUGGAUCUGUCAAGAUUUAUGGAUUUGAUCCUUGCAGUUACUGAUCUUGUCUUGAUGUUUAUACAUUUGUGGUAGCUUAUGCCAUAAUGUUUCUAUUCUCCUCAUCUGUUUCAGAGAACUUCUUCACACAAACAGCAGAAAGGAUGAGACAUGUGCCCAAUUGAAAGCUGUUCUAGGGGACUCUAUGACUAGUUGCGACAUUGAACCAGCUAGCGCAGAGAUCGCUGCAUGUUUGCAGGCUUCAUCUUCUCUACCCCAUUCAAUCACAGAGGAGAUGUUCAGUGUGGAGCUUCCAGAUGAACCAUCCACAGGAUCUUUUCCGGCAUUUAAUAGUCUUUCAGUCACAAUGGAUAACUCUCUCAGCCCUGCUCAUACACUUAUUCAACUUUAUUGUCAUGAUCACAAGGGCCUCCUCUAUGACAUCAUGAGAACCCUGAAGGACUACAACAUUCAGGUAAUAACAUGAAAAUCCAACUGGGAGUUGUCUAAUAAAUUUCCCUCUGUGGUGGGGGCAUACGUUGACUGUGAUAAAGGAUUGUUAUAUGACUAGUGCAUACAAUGAGUUACCAGUAAGUCUUAAACCUAUACUUCCAUUAAUCUUGAUUUGGUAGUUUUUUGAACAAUGAGACGGCUCUGCUGCCCUAACAGAAUGAAACUGAUUCUUGAUGUUUCCCAAGUCUUCUGACCAUUAAAAAAGAGUUUUGCCAGUUAUGUUGAUACAGUGAGCGCCUGUUAAGCAGCGGAACCAUUUUAAAUGUUGCAGUUAUGCUACCAUUCAUGGUUAUUUAUAUCAAACACCUUUUACGAAUUGAAAAACCAUACACCUUUUCUUUUGCUGCACUGUCAUCUGGUCAUUUUCCUUAUGUUAGGCAUAUACACAGUAUGCCUGUACAACAAUUUACAUGUUAAACUGAUAAUUUCUCCUUGACCUUUUGUCUUUCUGUAUGCAUAUCUAAAUUCCAAUUCUUGUACCUGUCAG